This 587-nucleotide ribosomal RNA is filed under the name uncultured bacterium. RNAcentral describes it as "partial 16S ribosomal RNA". It matches the Rfam family "Bacterial small subunit ribosomal RNA", at positions 355 to 1375 of the family's 1533-position model. The record is from RNAcentral.
UGGGGAAUUUUGGACAAUGGGCGCAAGCCUGAUCCAGCAAUGCCGCGUGCAGGAAGAAGGCCUUCGGGUUGUAAACUGCUUUUGUCAGGGAAGAAAUCUUCUGGGCUAAUACCCCGGGAGGAUGACGGUACCUGAAGAAUAAGCACCGGCUAACUACGUGCCAGCAGCCGCGGUAAUACGUAGGGUGCGAGCGUUAAUCGGAAUUACUGGGCGUAAAGCGUGCGCAGGCGGUUAUGUAAGACAGAUGUGAAAUCCCCGGGCUCAACCUGGGAACUGCAUUUGUGACUGCAUGACUGGAGUGCGGCAGAGGGGGGAUGGAAUUCCGCGUGUAGCAGUGAAAUGCGUAGAUAUGCGGAGGAACACCGAUGGCGAAGGCAAUCCCCUGGGCCUGCACUGACGCUCAUGCACGAAAGCGUGGGGAGCAAACAGGAUUAGAUACCCUGGUAGUCCACGCCCUAAACGAUGUCAACUGGCUUGUUGGACGGCUUGCUGUUCAGUAACGAAGCUAACGCGUGAAGUUGACCGCCUGGGGAGUACGGCCGCAAGGUUGAAACUUAAAUGAAUUGACGGGGUCAUAGCUGUUUCCU